AGUAAAAUUAUUUUUCCUUUCUGUCCGAAAUCAUGGGAGCACUGUCGGCCUCAAAGACCUUCAUCAUCCUGGAUUGGACAUAUAUUAAUGUUAUUUUAUUCCUGCUGAGUCAGGGCCUUUGAGCUCCCUACUUAACAGCAUUUAGAAAUAUCUUCAGCACGUGGACUUCAAUGGUUUAAAAUGUGCAUCAUCACCUCUUCAAGCAGCAGCUAGGCAUUUUACGUUCGUUGCCUUUGACACAGCCAGGAAAUCGCCAGGAAGGAAAACAAAAACAAAACAGCUUGUUCUGGAUCACAAAGUCAGCAAAGUGCCAGAAUGCCCAGGAGAAGAAGGGUGAAAACUGAGGGGAAAAUGUGGGAAAAGUGCAGCAAUUUAAUUGUACUCAAUUGCAAGGAACUGCAGGGAACAAAGCACUAUGAACUUUUUGUUGAAAAUUGAGAGGAAGUUGGGGUUUGCAAAAACUUUGAAUAUAUUCUCAUGCAAUAAAUUAACUACUAGGUCUUGGCAACUCUGUGCUAAUAUUUUGUAUGGUUUGAAAUAGUAGUAAGUUGCCCUGCAUGUUUAUGUUUAUUUGAACAGAGCUUUGUGCUUUCUGAUUCAAUGACUAGCAUUCAAGGUUCUAUGUCAAAUUAUGCAGAGGUUGCCGAGUCCUCCUUUCUCCCUGUCAAACUCAAAGUACAAUAAGUUCCAGAAACUUUUGUUCCUCUGUGGUCAAACGUCUACAAUUUCUCAACAAUAAAUCCUGUUUCUGCAUCACA
Molecule: long non-coding RNA, 758 nt
Organism: Rhincodon typus (whale shark)
Lineage: Eukaryota; Metazoa; Chordata; Chondrichthyes; Orectolobiformes; Rhincodontidae
Exons: 3
Source: RefSeq, a predicted model, not a curated record